RNAcentral lists this long non-coding RNA (437 nucleotides) under Vulpes vulpes (red fox). RNAcentral's name for it is "lncRNA (ENSVVUG00000018883.1)". Lineage: Eukaryota; Metazoa; Chordata; Mammalia; Carnivora; Canidae. The record is from RNAcentral.
CCAGGAGAUGGGCCAUGCUGCUCACAAGCAUGAUGACCAGUCCAUGCUAUGAACACCUAGAGACAGUUUCUAAAGCAAUUAGCUGGAAGGCUUUCCACCAAAAUGGUUCCAAUUUCUACCCCAAUUGGCAAGAGGGGAGCCUCUAUUUGCAUAUUAUCAUACCCUUAAGAAUCAAAGUCAUGAGUACCCGGCGUGUCCUCCAGUUAACUUCCAGGAGAGGUGCUUACUUUGGCUCAGUGGUUCAGACAGGUCAAGGCUACAAUUGGUUCCAUUCUCUUGCGCUUGCUUUCCUUGACGGUAACAAGAUGAGAGCUGUAGCUCCGGCCAACAUGUGUCCCUUCCAGGCAAGAAGGAAAGAGGAGAGAGUAAAAGAGAUCAGCCGGCCAAUUCUAGUUUAUGCCAGAAUUGUGGAAGCCAAAGCAAUGAUUUCCAUUUAA